RNAcentral lists this ribosomal RNA (585 nucleotides) under Trichoderma virens. RNAcentral's name for it is "eukaryotic LSU rRNA". It matches the Rfam family "Eukaryotic large subunit ribosomal RNA", at positions 40 to 647 of the family's 3401-position model. The record is from RNAcentral. Lineage: Eukaryota; Fungi; Ascomycota; Sordariomycetes; Hypocreales; Hypocreaceae.
AUAUCAAUAAGCGGAGGAAAAGAAACCAACAGGGAUUGCCCCAGUAACGGCGAGUGAAGCGGCAACAGCUCAAAUUUGAAAUCUGGCCCCUCGGGGUCCGAGUUGUAAUUUGUAGAGGAUGCUUUUGGUGAGGUGCCGCCCGAGUUCCCUGGAACGGGACGCCACAGAGGGUGAGAGCCCCGUCUGGCUGGCCACCGAGCCUCUGUAAAGCUCCUUCGACGAGUCGAGUAGUUUGGGAAUGCUGCUCAAAAUGGGAGGUAUAUGUCUUCUAAAGCUAAAUAUUGGCCAGAGACCGAUAGCGCACAAGUAGAGUGAUCGAAAGAUGAAAAGCACCUUGAAAAGAGGGUUAAAUAGUACGUGAAAUUGUUGAAAGGGAAGCGCUUGUGACCAGACUUGGGCGCGGCGGAUCAUCCGGGGUUCUCUCCGGUGCACUUCGCCGCGUCUAGGCCAGCAUCAGUUCGUCGCGGGGGAAAAAGGCUUCGGGAACGUGGCUCCUCCGGGAGUGUUAUAGCCCGUUGCAUAAUACCCUGCGGUGGACUGAGGACCGCGCAUCUGCAAGGAUGCUGGCGUAAUGGUCACCAGCGA